This 125-nucleotide microRNA precursor is filed under the name Hordeum vulgare. RNAcentral describes it as "microRNA MIR1122". It matches the Rfam family "MIR1120/MIR1122 microRNA precursor family". The record is from RNAcentral. Lineage: Eukaryota; Viridiplantae; Streptophyta; Magnoliopsida; Poales; Poaceae.
UAACUACUCCCUUCGUCCGAAAAUACUUGUCCAAGGAAUGAAUGUAUUUACAUGUAUUUCAGUUUUAGAUACAUUCAUUUCUAUUUAUUUUUACGACAAAUAAUACGGGAUGGAGGGAGUAUAUG